Molecule: long non-coding RNA, 722 nt
Organism: Amphimedon queenslandica
Lineage: Eukaryota; Metazoa; Porifera; Demospongiae; Haplosclerida; Niphatidae
Exons: 2
Source: RefSeq, a predicted model, not a curated record
AAACAUCAACAGCCAUGAUAGUAAAUGGGUGUGUUUUUAAUAACCUAUAUGGUGCACCCACCCACACGUGUAGUCACGAUGUUUCAAGAGGAAGAGUCAGAACUACACAAUCCAGAUGAUCAUGACUGUUACAACAGAUUGAGAGCAUCUAAUCUUGAUGAGCGCCAUGCCACUACACCUAAGCGCCCUAAAGCAUCAAGAAAGAGGACAUGGGGCCAAGAGUCAGAAGCCUCUGCUCCAGUGAACUCAGAUCUGUAAUACUUCGUUUUUAAGAUCAACAGCAGUUAACAGCCCAUCUCAAAAGGACCAGACUAAAGGAGGAUGAUCAUUGAUCAAGAGCUUUUCAUGUGUCAAUAACAAACAUGGUUUGUGUGCUUGGAAACUACAAAUCUCUUCAAAGUGGUACAAAGUGACUGGUACAACAAGGUGAGGUCAAAUUCUGCUUCCAAGGUCUCUGGUCCAGGCUCUUGCUGCUCAGUUCAGCAGCCAUUUUUAUAUUACAGUUAAGUUAAGUACACACCCAACUAUAGCUUCAGUGCAGUUAUCACUUAUUGUGCUAAAUAAGGUAUGCGGGAAUGUACAAAUAAUAACCAUGAAACUUCUACGCGCACAUAUCACUAGCAGCAUAGGGCAGUUAGACACUCUCCCCUCCUCCUUAUCCACUCUUGAUACCAUUAUAUAUAUAGUUUUAUGGCCAGACUACAUCCAUCACAAAAUACAAG